AUGCAAAAGACUUUGAGCCAUCAGCAGCAGCAAGAACAUUUGGCUAGCUGAACAAGUUGCACAAGACUGAUAUAUUUGCUGCCCAAGAACCUCUGAAGUGGCAGGCGGCCACGAGUUUUCACGACAUAAACUCAGGUAAAGAGCCCGUCUUUAAGAAGCCGUGCCAGUGUUGUCAUUUCGGAGCCACAGUGAAAACUCACCCAGCCCAGCGCCGAUGAGAAGGACGUCAAGACGCCAGCAGAUUUACAGUCAACAGAGCUGAGAAAUGGCUUGGAGGAGACGUUGAAGAUGACGAAGAAUCGUGGCCAGAUGUCGGAUCAUCCUAAGGAUCUUUAAGUUCUAAAUCAAGGUCAAAAUCACAAAGGUCCAAAAGUAGUUCAGGACAAUCCCGCUCACAAAUAAUAAAAAGAAUGGAAGCUGAAGCUGAAGCAGCUGCAUCUUAAGAAAUACUGGGAGUAAUGGACGAGCAGGAAAAGGAAACAGCUGAACUACAAAAAUUGGAACUCGAGAACUUUGCAAGGCAACAAGCAAUGGAAGAGCGGCGUAGAAAGAUCGACCGCUUGGAAGAAGUUAAGAAAAUGAAUGCUGCCAAAGCUCGCGUAAAGGUUUACUAUGAAGUUGAAAGUACUGCUGAAAGUCGAAGUUUGUCACACAGUAUUAAGUAUUAUAGUAUUAUACUUUGUAUUGUUAUAUUCUUAUUUUACUGUUAUAUUGUUAUUCCCAUCGUUUUUAUUCUUUUUGUAAUAUUUCUCUAUUUUGUUUCCUUUUAAACCCCCAUUAUUUACUUUUUUUUUUUUUUUUUAAUUGAUCUCAACUCUGUACACUGCUGCUGGAAUUUUAAUUUUCCUGAAGGAA
Molecule: long non-coding RNA, 855 nt
Organism: Nerophis ophidion (straightnose pipefish)
Lineage: Eukaryota; Metazoa; Chordata; Actinopteri; Syngnathiformes; Syngnathidae
Exons: 4
Source: RefSeq, a predicted model, not a curated record